AUUGAACGCUGGCGGCAGGCCUAACACAUGCAAGUCGAACGAGUGGCGGACGGGUGAGUAAUGUCUGGGAAACUGCCCGAUGGAGGGGGAUAACUACGGGAAACGGUAGCUAAUAACGCAUACCAUCGGAUGUGCCCAGAUGGGGUUAGCUUGUAGGUGAGGUAACGGCUCACCUAGGAGACGAUCCCUAGCUGGUCUGAGAGGAUGACCAGCCACACUGGAACUGAGACACGGUCCAGACUCCUACGGGAGGCAGCAGUGGGGAAUUUUGCACAAUGGGCGCAAGCCGGAUGCAGCCAUGCCGCGUGGAUGAAGAAGGCUUUCGGGUUGUAAAUUCCUUUCAGCGGGGAGGCGUUACCCACCUAAGAAGCACCGGCUAACUCCGUGCCAGCAGCCGCGGUAAUAC
Molecule: ribosomal RNA, 406 nt
Filed under: uncultured bacterium
Lineage: Bacteria
Description: partial 16S ribosomal RNA
Rfam family: Bacterial small subunit ribosomal RNA
Source: RNAcentral